GGGUUGUGAGGUUAAGCGACUAAGCGUACACGGUGGAUGCCCUGGCAGUCAGAGGCGAUGAAGGACGUGCUAAUCUGCGAAAAGCGUCGGUAAGGUGAUAUGAACCGUUAUAACCGGCGAUGUCCGAAUGGGGAAACCCAGUGCAAUUCGUUGCACUAUCGUUAACUGAAUACAUAGGUUAACGAGGCGAACCGGGGGAACUGAAACAUCUAAGUACCCCGAGGAAAAGAAAUCAACCGAGAUUCCCCCAGUAGCGGCGAGCGAACGGGGAGCAGCCCAGAGUCUGAAUCAGCUUGUGUGUUAGUGGAACGGUCUGGAAAGUCCGACGGUACAGGGUGAUAGUCCCGUACACCAAAAUGCACAGGUUGUGAACUCGAAGAGUAGGGCGGGACACGUGGUAUCCUGUCUGAAUAUGGGGGGACCAUCCUCCAAGGCUAAAUACUCCUGACUGACCGAUAGUGAACCAGUACCGUGAGGGAAAGGCGAAAAGAACCCCGGCGAGGGGAGUGAAAAAGAACCUGAAACCGUGUACGUACAAGCAGUGGGAGCACCUUCGGGUGUGACUGCGUACCUUUUGUAUAAUGGGUCAGCGACUUAUAUUCUGUAGCAAGGUUAACCGUAUAGGGGAGCCGCAGGGAAACCGAGUCUUAACUGGGCGUUAAGUUGCAGGGUAUAGACCCGAAACCCGGUGAUCUAGCCAUGGGCAGGUUGAAGGUUGGGUAACACUAACUGGAGGACCGAACCGACUAAUGUUGAAAAAUUAGCGGAUGACUUGUGGCUGGGGGUGAAAGGCCAAUCAAACCGGGAGAUAGCUGGUUCUCCCCGAAAGCUAUUUAGGUAGCGCCUCGUGAAUUCAUCUUCGGGGGUAGAGCACUGUUUCGGCUAGGGGGUCAUCCCGACUUACCAACCCGAUGCAAACUACGAAUACCGAAGAAUGUUAUCACGGGAGACACACGGCGGGUGCUAACGUCCGUCGUGAAGAGGGAAACAACCCAGACCGCCAGCUAAGGUCCCAAAGUCAUGGUUAAGUGGGAAACGAUGUGGGAAGGCACAGACAGCCAGGAUGUUGGCUUAGAAGCAGCCAUCAUUUAAAGAAAGCGUAAUAGCUCACUGGUCGAGUCGGCCUGCGCGGAAGAUGUAACGGGGCUAAACCAUGCACCGAAGCUGCGGCAGCGACACUAUGUGUUGUUGGGUAGGGGAGCGUUCUGUAAGCCUGCGAAGGUGACCUGUGAGGGUUGCUGGAGGUAUCAGAAGUGCGAAUGCUGACAUAAGUAACGAUAAAGCGGGUGAAAAGCCCGCUCGCCGGAAGACCAAGGGUUCCUGUCCAACGUUAAUCGGGGCAGGGUGAGUCGACCCCUAAGGCGAGGCCGAAAGGCGUAGUCGAUGGGAAACAGGUUAAUAUUCCUGUACUUGGUGUUACUGCGAAGGGGGGACGGAGAAGGCUAUGUUAGCCGGGCGACGGUUGUCCCGGUUUAAGCAUGUAGGCUGGUUGUCCAGGCAAAUCCGGAUAAUCAAGGCUGAGGUGUGAUGACGAGGCACUACGGUGCUGAAGUAACAAAUGCCCUGCUUCCAGGAAAAGCCUCUAAGCAUCAGGUAACAUCAAAUCGUACCCCAAACCGACACAGGUGGUCAGGUAGAGAAUACCAAGGCGCUUGAGAGAACUCGGGUGAAGGAACUAGGCAAAAUGGUGCCGUAACUUCGGGAGAAGGCACGCUGGUGUGUAGGUGAAGUCCCUGCGGAUGGAGCUGAGACCAGUCGAAGAUACCAGCUGGCUGCAACUGUUUAUUAAAAACACAGCACUGUGCAAACACGAAAGUGGACGUAUACGGUGUGACGCCUGCCCGGUGCCGGAAGGUUAAUUGAUGGGGUUAUCCGUAAGGAGAAGCUCUUGAUCGAAGCCCCGGUAAACGGCGGCCGUAACUAUAACGGUCCUAAGGUAGCGAAAUUCCUUGUCGGGUAAGUUCCGACCUGCACGAAUGGCGUAAUGAUGGCCAGGCUGUCUCCACCCGAGACUCAGUGAAAUUGAACUCGCUGUGAAGAUGCAGUGUACCCGCGGCAAGACGGAAAGACCCCGUGAACCUUUACUAUAGCUUGACACUGAACAUUGAGCCUUGAUGUGUAGGAUAGGUGGGAGGCUUUGAAGCGUGGACGCCAGUCUGCGUGGAGCCAACCUUGAAAUACCACCCUUUAAUGUUUGAUGUUCUAACGUUGGCCCCUUACCGGGGUUGCGGACAGUGUCUGGUGGGUAGUUUGACUGGGGCGGUCUCCUCCCAAAGCGUAACGGAGGAGCACGAAGGUUAGCUAAUCCUGGUCGGACAUCAGGAGGUUAGUGCAAUGGCAUAAGCUAGCUUGACUGCGAGCGUGACGGCGCGAGCAGGUGCGAAAGCAGGUCAUAGUGAUCCGGUGGUUCUGAAUGGAAGGGCCAUCGCUCAACGGAUAAAAGGUACUCCGGGGAUAACAGGCUGAUACCGCCCAAGAGUUCAUAUCGACGGCGGUGUUUGGCACCUCGAUGUCGGCUCAUCACAUCCUGGGGCUGAAGUAGGUCCCAAGGGUAUGGCUGUUCGCCAUUUAAAGUGGUACGCGAGCUGGGUUUAGAACGUCGUGAGACAGUUCGGUCCCUAUCUGCCGUGGGCGCUGGAGAAUUGAGGGGGGCUGCUCCUAGUACGAGAGGACCGGAGUGGACGCAUCACUGGUGUUCGGGUUGUCAUGCCAAUGGCACUGCCCGGUAGCUAAAUGCGGAAGAGAUAAGUGCUGAAAGCAUCUAAGCACGAAACUUGCCCCGAGAUGAGUUCUCCCUGAGACUUUAAGUCUCCUGAAGGAACGUUGAAGACGACGACGUUGAUAGGCCGGGUGUGUAAGCGCAGCGAUGCGUUGAGCUAACCGGUACUAAUGAACCGUGAGGCUUAACCUUACAACGCCGAAG
This 2923-nucleotide ribosomal RNA is filed under the name Klebsiella pneumoniae. RNAcentral's name for it is "23S ribosomal RNA". It matches the Rfam family "Bacterial large subunit ribosomal RNA". The record is from RNAcentral. Lineage: Bacteria; Pseudomonadati; Pseudomonadota; Gammaproteobacteria; Enterobacterales; Enterobacteriaceae.